UGCAAGCUGUUCUUGUGAUUAACCGAUUGUAAUACAAAUGGAAGUUCUAGUCAAGGUGAGAUUUGUAAAAUGUGAAGUGACAACAGCAUGGGAGGAGUUAAAGUAGAUAGUGAUUGAUUUAGUUUUCUAAAACAGGGAUGCCCUUUCAAAAGUUUUGAAGAUGCUGAAUUAAAGAAUUCAACGAAGUGAUUUGCUGAGAGGGACAAGCUUCCAUUCCCGAUGCCUGCUGAAUCAAGACUAUCUGCUCUGAUUGGAGGACUGUUCCAUACCCUUGCUACUGUAACGUGGAACAUAGACAAUAGAGUAUUUGGCUGCAGAUACUGCAUCAGUGCAAGAGGAUUUAUCAUGGACUGUUUGUGUCACAACAAACCACAAUGACAGAGGAAGACAUAACUUGGACUUCCCAUGAAGCGAGAACUAAAUACCUCCUGGCUGUGCCAGGACACUGAGAUAAAUGAUGCACGUGCAAUCCCUGCAAUGGAGCUUGGUAUGGCUGCCAGCAACACUUGCCUCACUUCUGCAAUGGGAAACACUGCAGCAGCUUUGGUGUGACAGCAUGUCCAACUCCACACAGCCCCCAGCUCCUCCUUUAAUAAAACAACUUCUUUUUCUGAGA
Molecule: long non-coding RNA, 616 nt
Organism: Pseudopipra pipra
Lineage: Eukaryota; Metazoa; Chordata; Aves; Passeriformes; Pipridae
Exons: 4
Source: RefSeq, a predicted model, not a curated record